GUGUCAGCAGCCGCGGUAAUACGUAGGUGGCGAGCGUUGUCCGGAAUUACUGGGUGUAAAGGGCGUGUAGGCGGGAAAGCAAGUUAGAUGUGAAAGCCCAUGGCUUAACUGUGGAACUGCAUCUAAAACUGUUUUUCUUGAGUGAUGGAGAGGAAAGUGGAAUUCCCAGUGUAGCGGUGAAAUGCGUAGAGAUUGGGAGGAACACCAGUGGCGAAGGCGGCUUUCUGGACAUUAACUGACGCUGAGGCGCGAAAGCGUGGGGAGCGAACAGGAUUAGAUACCCUGGUAGUCCACGCCGUAAACGAUGGAUACUAGGUGUAGGAGGUAUCGACCCCUUCUGUGCCGGAGUUAACACAAUAAGUAUCCCACCUGGGGAGUACGGCCGCAAGGUUGAA
This 395-nucleotide ribosomal RNA is filed under the name uncultured bacterium. RNAcentral describes it as "bacterial SSU rRNA". It matches the Rfam family "Bacterial small subunit ribosomal RNA", at positions 505 to 898 of the family's 1533-position model. The record is from RNAcentral.